This 1183-nucleotide long non-coding RNA is filed under the name Parus major (Great Tit). RNAcentral's name for it is "lncRNA (ENSPMJG00000000526.1)". Lineage: Eukaryota; Metazoa; Chordata; Aves; Passeriformes; Paridae. The record is from RNAcentral.
AUAAGAGCUCAAGAAUAGAUGGCAGUGGAUAGAAAGCUUUGGGGAUUUUUUUACUCAUAGUCCUACAGUUAAGAGAUAAAGGGCAGCUUUCAGGAAUUAUCUAGCUGUUGUCAUUCCUCCCCUUUAUGAAAUGUGCUGAAGCAAGGCAUCACAUCCCAGGAGAGUUUCCUAUGAGCAUCCAUUGGGAAUUACCACCAGGAUGCUUCCUGGACACUCCAGGGACCAGUUUGGCUGGAAUUUCUCUUGUGUUUUGCACAGCACAUGCAGAGCCAGGAAUGGAUCCACACACAUACACACUGUACGAGGGAAAGCUGAAGCUGUAUGUUCUGGAUUUUCUCCUAGUAUUUCUUUACAGCUUGAAGUUGAAAAACUGGUCCUUAUCUCCUGAGCUCUAUCAGGAGUGGCAUCAGUGUCAGUUUCAUCAGGAGCACACCUUCUGGAAUGGGAGUGCUGCCCUGCAGGUGCCAAAACACAGGUGUUUAAGGACAUCUGAGAUGCCCUGGGGAUCCCACCUGGCCUCUCUCUGCUGAUCCAAAAGGACACAAAACCCUUUAGAUGGUAUCCCAGCUACCCCAAAGCAUUUCCAGUGACACAGAGGUUACUCCUAAAGGUUUGGGGUUUUAUUUUCAAUUUUUUUUUUCAUUUCGAAUGUCAUUAAUUGGUGUUUGAAUUAAACCAGUGAUGUGCAUGUAGCUCCAGGUGUUUUAUUGUCCAGGUUUAUGUGUUUUUUUGGGGAUCCACUACUCUGGAAGAAGGAGUAUGACCUUGUUUCUCUGGGACAGUGGUUGAUGUUGGCCACUCUCUGUCACAAGGAGGUCUACAUUAUAUUUUUAAUUCACUGGUAACCGCAAAGAAAUCCAGAGGAGAAAAAGAAGGAAUAACAAAACAAGAACAUUAGGAGCUGGAAGGGAUGGUGAGAGGAAAGACUUCCAAAAGUAGAGAGGUAAAGGAAGAGCCAUUAUUCAAACCUCAGGCUCCUCUGGAAGGCACACAGCAGAGCAAAGGCUCCCUCUCAGUCAUGGGAUGCCUGGUGCAACACAACUGCCUCCAGAAAACCUGCAGGUGAAAUGAAGUGGAAGAAACAGAUAAUACACAGGAAAAUGUACCCCUUGACAAGGAUCUUAGUUAUGAAAGUGCUUUAUAGGGUAAUAAAUGCUCAGUAGCAAGUUUAAAAUAAAAAUAA